RNAcentral lists this long non-coding RNA (3560 nucleotides) under Homo sapiens (human). RNAcentral describes it as "non-protein coding lnc-TACR1-1:7". The record is from RNAcentral. Lineage: Eukaryota; Metazoa; Chordata; Mammalia; Primates; Hominidae.
AGAAUGAAGAUGGCUUCCUGUCCCGCUAGCGUCACGUCGGGAUCUGCCUUCACCAAGGCCUUCACUCGCGCCAGAGGCAACCUCGAGAGACGAGCCCCAGGCACACUCGUUGGGGCCUGGGGCUGCGAGGCCGCUGCCUCCCCAGCAGGCCAUUAUAACUACAUUCUUAGAAUGUGAUCCCUUUCAACAUUUCCUGCACCUCUGCUUCUGCACACUACCACCAAAAGACAAGAAAGGCAAGGAGACGUGACUGGAGCAAGAAAAACAGUGUUUUUCACACAAGGAUGUCCACUCCUUGUUGGGAAUGGCUUAAGAUCGACCUGGGAAAGCAAAACAUCGCCAUAUCAUUUGGAGGAAAGGCACUGGUUGGAAGAGCCUGUUGGCGUGGCAAAGCCAAGGUCUUUAAAGUCCUCAGAGAAGGCAGGCAUAGCCACCACUGGAGGACUUCCUGAUAUGUGGUACAGAGACUGAUGAGGGCAUGGGGUGACAACCUUAGGUGCCAACAGCAAGGGGAUGGAUAUACAGGGUAAAGGAGGCUUGCUGCCAUCCUACGCCUUUGAACGCCACAAAUCAGAGAUGGUACCAUGGAGGAACAUGAACAGGACUCAGGCACAAGAUUUCACAUUGCUGGGAAUCCAUUUUCAGUCUUUGAAAAGACACAGUGAUUCUUCAGGAAGUUUGUUAUCCCAAAGAUGCAACAGAGACAGAAUUUCCCAGCUUGAAGGGAUUUGAAACAUCCAUAAAGUUACAGAAAUUCAUAUCUGGAGGAGUCUUAACGGUCAUUCAGACCAACGCUUUCUCGGGUAUCUAUAACAUCCAAUGCCCUAGUUUCCCUGCUGUCUUUUUUGGCCACUCCUUUUCAAUCUCCUUUGCAGGCUACCCUUUACAGGGCUCAGUCUCCACACUCUUUUGUUCUAGAUUUUCCCCUGGUGACCUCACCGAGGCCUACAGCUUUAAAUACCAUCCAUAUGCUGAUAAUUCCCAAAUUUAUAUUUCCAGUCCCAAGCUCUCCACUGAGUUUCAGGCUCAUAUAUCCAAAUGUCUACUUCUUGCCUUCAGUAUACCUUACAAACCUCUCAAGUUUGACGUGCCUAGAACUGGACUCUGGAUUUUACCUUUUGCCCGUAUCAACAAGUUCCUCUCUUAGUCUUCCAAUCACAGAAAGGGCUCCACCAUCAAGAUGGACAUGAGCCUAAAACCCAAGAAUUCUUGUUUCCUGCCUUCCUUUCCUUCUCUCACAUUCAGUCUCCUGGUAGACUUGUUCAUUUACUUCCACCAUUUCUAUCUACUUCUUUUCAUCUCCAGUGCCAACAUUCUUGUCCAAGCCAUCACUCUCUCUCCCCAAACCACUCCAAUAGCAUCCUAACUGGUUUUCCCUACCCUUAUCUCACCUCAAUCCAUUCUCUGCAUAUUAGCUGGAGUGAUCCUUUCAAGAAGUGAAUACAAACCUUAAAUCUUUCAACAGCCCUCACUGCAUCCAGAAUAAAAUCCAAGCACCUAUAACUGCCUAAUAUGGCUUCUGUCCACAUCUAACCUCAAAUCUUACCUUCUGCCCUUGCUGUGCUCAAGCCUUUCUGGCCUUUCAUUUCCUUAAACACACCAAGCCUUUCCAGCAUCAGAGACUUUACAAUUCUUCCUGGAAUGCUCUUCCACUAAUUUCUUUAGGUCAUAGUUUGUGGUCAUUUGAAAACAUGUCCACAAAUUCUUUUCUAUCCUAAAAAAAGGGGGAAUCCAAUUCCCCUCCUCUUGAACAUGGACUAGCCUCAGUGGCUUGCUACUAAUGAAUUAAAUGGUAUAGAAGUGACUGUAACUUCUUAGACUAGGUGACCAAAGAUGGCACAGCCUCCACCUGGUUCUCUGUCUUGUGAGGCUCACCCUUGGAACCCAGCCAUCAUGCUGUGACAAAGCCAUGUACCACAUGCAGGUGUUUCGGGGAACAGACCUGUCAGAGGUCCUUGCCAACAGCCAACAUCAGUCAGCAUCAACCACUAGACAUGUAAGUGAGGAAGCCUCCAGAUGAUUCCAGUUCCCACCUUCAGCUGAUGUUAGGUGGAGCAGAGACAUGCUGUCCCCACCUGCCUAAACUGCAGAUUCAUGAGUAAUGUAAUUUCUGUCAUUGUUUUAAGCCAUUAAGUUUUGGGGCAGUUUGUCACACAGCAAUAGACAACUGGAACACAGCUCAUAUGCCCCUUCUCAGAACUGCCCUCCCUGAUCAUCCUAAGUGCCCAUUGGCAUUAUCCAUAACCUGAAAAUUAUUAUGAUUGAUCCUAAAGUCCAGCCUGGUGCCUGGCACGUAGGAGAUGCUCAGUGAAUAUUUGUGGAAUGAUUGAAUAAGGAAAUGAAUCCUCUUGUCACAUUUGAAGUUAUCAGUCAUCAAUAAAAUGGGGAUUUGUUUCAUCGUUUGCAGGGUGAUGACAUCAAACUCAAUUCGGAGAGAGGAAAGGGUAGUUAUGAAGCAUGCUCCACUGGUGCUGCUGGAUAGUGAGGGUGGGCAGACUUGACGACCACCAGUCCAGGACCUAGACAGCCUGAAGACACGGGGGCCUGAAAAGGUAGUUGGGGAUGCCCAAAGAAUGCUAGUCCUGGUGCCAAUGCAGCAGACAGUCACCUUGUCUGUUGUCGAGUAAACAAGUGCCUCCUCUUGGGCCUGUGAUGCCUGCCAGCACAUGUCUUUCUCAGAGGUGGGCAUAUUCUCUAUUUGGGAAACAAUGGGUAGAGGGAUUGAAGCAGGAGAAGUUUCAGAGAAUCACUCUUGCAAGAGAUGCUGCACUCUGGCAGACUCGAUAAUGACAAAUAUGUCAAGCAACUGAGUUUCAGCAGGGUUCCUUCGGGCCUUGUUCACCAACUUGUGGUUUCCGUGGUGACAGGACAGCUGCCAGGUAGAUGGCGGCUUUGGGGCCACCUGACUGGCUCUGACGAUAACUGGCUUUGACAGCUUUGAUUGGAAUGAAAAGAUUUAGGGUCCCUACUGGCUUUCUUAAAUUAAACCCUCCCUCCUGGAGUUAGCUUGUUUAUCAACAUUAUCUUAGAUUAGGGGACUUUCUUGUGAUCAGAGAGUUCUUUUACCACGAUGGUUCACAUGUUGGGGCCACUGGCAGGGUUUCUGAGAUCAGGGUCCUCGGAGCAGCACAGAGAGGUAAGGCUACACCCUGAUGUGCUUCUCAGGCAAUGCCUCCAAGGGGCAUGUUAACAGUCAGAUCUAGUUAGGAAAGAAAACAGGAAAAGGACCUGCAUUUUAACAGAAAUAAUUUAAUCUAGGCAAUUGAGUAAGCAGGUAUUAGAGGCUGAAAGGCAAAAAGGAAGUAUCAAGAUAAACACAGGGAUGGUAACUGCCAGAGGCAGCUCUACCUCUGGGGCUGAAGAACACAGGGAAGAUACUGGGGUUGCAAUAAUUUCAAAGCUUGGAAGAGGAGCCCUGCGGAGCUGGGACCUAGGCUUCUAAGGAGCGGCGACUGCACAGUAUCUGUGAGGCUGGAUUUGAGAGUCCAGAAAAUGUUGAAGACUGGAACCCAUUGCUAUUGAGCUGUCACAGCCGCCAGCAGACAGCCGACUCCCUCACC